AGGGAAAGGUGAAAAGUACCCCAGUGAGGGGAGUGAAAUAGUACCUGAAACCGUUUGCCUACAAGCAGUGGGAGCACGAUUGGCUUUUUAAGCCGCGUGUGACUGCGUGCCUUUUGCAUAAUGAGUCAGCGACUUAAUCUACGUAGCCAGGUUAAACCGUUAGGUGUAGCCGUAGCGAAAGCGAGUCUUAACUGGGCGCAUAGUUACGUGGAUUAGACCCGAAACCAGGUGAUCUAUCCAUGGCCAGGUUGAAGCGUGAGUAAAAUCGCGUGGAGGACCGAACCGUUGAAUGUUGAAAAAUUCUCGGAUGAGCUGUGGAUAGGGGUGAAAGGCCAAACAAACCUGGAGAUAGCUGGUUCUCUCCGAAAUAUAUUUAGGUAUAGCCUCAUAUGUUUCUUGACGGGGGUAGAGCACUGGAUGGGCUAGGGGUCUCACCAGAUUACCAAACCUAACCAAACUUCGAAUACCGUUAAGUUAAAUGUGGGAGUCAGACUGCGGGAGCUAAGUUCCGUGGUCGAGAGGGAAACAACCCAGACCGUCAGCUAAGGUCCCUAAAUCAAUACUAAGUGGACAAGGAUGUGGGAAUGCCCAGACAACCAGGAGGUUGGCUUAGAAGCAGCCAUCCUUUAAAGAAAGCGUAACAGCUCACUGGUCGAGUGAAUCUGCGCCGAAAAUGUAUCGGGGCUAAGUAUUGUACCGAAGCUACGGAUAGGAUUUAUCCUAUGGUAGGAGAGCAUUGAAUACGGGCUGAAGGUGUACCGUAAGGAGCGCUGGACUGUAUUCAAGAGCCCAUGCUGACAUGAGUAGCGAUAAAGCGAGUGAAAAACUCGCUCACCGAAAGCCUAAGGUUUCCUGAGUAAAGCUAAUCUUCUCAGGGUUAGUCGAUCCCUAAGCCGAGGCCGAAAGGCGUAGGCGAUGGAAAACGGGUUAAUAUUCCCGUACCACCGAAGAAUCGUUUGAGAGAUGGAGUGACGUAGCAGGGUAGGUCAUCCGGGUGCUGGAUUACCCGGUUUAAGUGUGUAGGCUUAAGAAACAGGCAAAUCCGUUUCUUUUUAAGGCUGAGACAUGAAUACGAGGAUCUUUGAUCCAUAAAGUGAUUGAUCCCAUACUACCAAGAAAAACUUCUAUCGAGAUUCCCAGGUGAUCGUACCGCAAACCGACACAGGUAGGCAGGAAGAGAAUUCUAAGGUGCUUGAGAUAACUCUGGUUAAGGAACUCGGCAAAAUAACACCGUAACUUCGGGAGAAGGUGUGCCACCAAAGUGAUAUUAUUUACUAAUUGAGCUUAGUGUGGUCGCAGAGAAAUGGCGGUAGCGACUGUUUACUAAAAACAUAGGACUUUGCUAAAUCGUAAGAUGAUGUAUAAGGUCUGACGCCUGCCCGGUGCCGGAAGGUUAAGGGGAUUUGUUAGCGUCUUCGGAUGCGAAGCUUUGAACCGAAGCCCCGGUAAACGGCGGCCGUAACUAUAACGGUCCUAAGGUAGCGAAAUUCCUUGUCGGGUAAGUUCCGACCUGCACGAAUGGCGUAACGACUUCCGCGCUGUCUCAACCAGAGACUCAGCGAAAUUGUAUUGGCGGUGAAGAUGCCGUCUACCCGCGAAAAGACGGAAAGACCCCGGCACCUUUACUAUAGCUUGACAUUGGAUUUUGGAUUAUUAUGUGUAGGAUAGGUGGGAGGCUUUGAAGCAGGUACGCCAGUGCUUGUGGAGCCACCCUUGAAAUACCACCCUUACUAAUCUAGAGUUCUAACGAUGACCCGUUAUCCGGGUUUCGGACAGUGUCUGGUGGGUAGUUUGACUGGGGCGGUCGCCUCCCAAAGAGUAACGGAGGCGCGCGAAGGUUCCCUCAGG
RNAcentral lists this ribosomal RNA (1848 nucleotides) under invertebrate metagenome. RNAcentral describes it as "bacterial LSU rRNA". It matches the Rfam family "Bacterial large subunit ribosomal RNA", at positions 506 to 2326 of the family's 2925-position model. The record is from RNAcentral.